AUGCUAGCCUCGGCAGCUCAUAUACUAAAAUUGCAAUGAUACAAAGAAGAUUAGCAUGUUCCCUGUGCAAGGAUCACACACAAAGUCAUGAAGCAUUCCAUAUUUUU
This 107-nucleotide small nuclear RNA is filed under the name Dasypus novemcinctus (nine-banded armadillo). The record is from RNAcentral. Lineage: Eukaryota; Metazoa; Chordata; Mammalia; Cingulata; Dasypodidae.